This is an RNA transcript of Aricia agestis (brown argus), 1300 nucleotides long. It is a transcript of the gene named serine/arginine-rich splicing factor 2-like, with no coding region annotated. The record is from RefSeq and is a predicted model, not a curated record. The transcript has 5 exons. NCBI's taxonomy places the organism in Eukaryota, Metazoa, Arthropoda, Insecta, Lepidoptera, Lycaenidae.
UUGUGACGCUUAUUCAUCCGCAUUUGGAUUUCUGUAGAAAAUUCCACCGCCUGUUGGCGCCAUAUUGCUUCUUUUUAGAUAAUAAGUAGUUUCUUGGUGAAUAUUCGGUGUGAUCGUUUCUGUUUGAGUGAAGUUAAAGUAAUUCGUGAAAAUGAGUUACGGUCGGCCACCGCCGCGCAUCGAUGGCAUGGUGUCAUUGAAAGUUGAUAAUCUCACGUAUAGAACAACUCCAGAAGAAUUGCGCCGUGUUUUCGAAAGAUGUGGCGAGGUUGGAGAUAUUUAUAUUCCCAGAGAUCGGUACACCCGGGAAAGUAGGGGAUUUGCCUUCGUCAGGUUUUUCGAUAGACGUGAUGCUGAAGAAGCUCUGGACUCCAUAGAUGGGCGCAUGCUGGACGGCAGGGAGUUGCGCGUGCAGAUGGCGCGCUACGGUCGACCUUCGUCACCGUACAGAAGCCGUUAUGACAGACGCAGGAGCUAUUCCCGUUCACGGUCUCGUUCACGUCGUCGAUCCAGGUCGCGCUCGCGCAGGCGGUCGUACAGCCGCAGCAAGUCCCGCUCCCGCUCUCGGUCCAGGUCUCGCUCCGACUCCAAGAGCUCCCGCGGACGCUCUCGCAGCCGCAGCCACUCUCGUUCCCGCUCCAGACACUAAACUGAUGGUUACUGUGGUGUAACACUGUGUAGCUGACAGACCAUGAGACACGGAGCAGCCUCCCAGGGCGUGGUGGAGCGAGGCGUUGCAGGGAGGGGGUUUGCUGACAACUGCUGAAUUGCUGUUGUUGCUGCAUAAAGUUAUGAGUAACUUUUUAUUUUUAUUGUACCAAGAUAUGCCAAUAGACCCAAAUGUUUUUAUGAGUGAAGGUUGUGAAUUUCAUACUCUUUGAUAUAUUAUGUGACAAGAUAAGUAAACCUGUUAUAUAGGAAAUUAAUACAUUAAUUUGUUUGCCAGGCCGGUGCUGCUCGCUGGCCUGAUUGCUGUGGCAGUUUCCUGUGCUGUGUGCUGUGAUUUGCAGAUACGCCCCCUAGGUUUCUAAAACAUAUGAAACUCCCUCCCUGCCUAAAUGAUGCAGUCUUCUAUGGGACAUUACGGAUGUGUAUGUGUAAUUCCUAUUUUUUUCUAGAUCUCUUUUAAAGAAAAGGUUUAUGCUUUUUUUUCCUCUUAAUUUAAUUAUUAACUAACAACUCGAACACUUUUGAAACCUUCUCUUUAAAUAUUGACAAGAUUGGAGAGACAUCAAACCAUGGCCAUCACCCACGACUUUAAGUUUAUUAAUAUUAUUUCUUAAUAAAAUGUAAAUAAAAA